CAAGGAUUGACACCACACCCGUUUUAUGUUGGGCGGCUGCACAGCCUCCAUCCCGCCGCGUGACACGGGAACUCGUGUCCCUGUCAGCAGGCAGGAGGGAAUGAGCCAUAUCCUCUGGCCACACCCCAGCGGCACCGGCUGGACUGGGGUGUGUGAGGCUGCGGUGCCCUGCAGGUGCCCUGGAGCUGCAGCAUCCUCCUGGGAGGCACACACUGGGGCACCUCCAGGUGCUGGUGGAGACACAGGAAGACACAGUGUUGAGCCUCAGCCAGAAGCACCAACAUCAGAGAUCGUGGGGAUUGUUAAUCAACUGAACUGAUCCUAUGAAUUUUUCACCAGUUCUGAGUCUCUGGACCACCCUAUUCAAUACUACAGGUCUCAGUUCUCUCCUCCGUGCAGCACUCUCCUACUCAGUGAGUUUUAAGGGAAACCAAUGUGAGCCUGGGUCACACAGCUUGGGAAAGGUUUUGCAGAGCACGUUCUAGAGUGACAUUUGGUCCCCAGGGAGGCCUGUGAGUCGCCAGACUCCUCCUGGGUGAUGGAGUUCCCUGCACUACGUCAGCCAACACCCCCAGAUGUUCUGAGCAGACGCAAAACAUGCUCUAAUGGACAUGAGGAACUGUUCCCUGAGUUACUGACUGCGAGUGCAAGGACGGGUUUCACUUCUGCUCUGGGAACAAGUGGGACUUGGCAGUAGUGCAAAGCGUGUCACUGUGGUGACCCUCUGUGCGAUAAUUCUCUAAGGAGUGGCAGUUCCAUGGAAACACCGUGUUCUGCUCUGCCCUGAGCUGCCCCAGAGAGCUGAGGGGCACCUGGGGACAUGGCUCAGUGGUGGCCUUGGCAGCGCCGUGAGUGAACCUUUGGACUGGGUGAGGGCUUUUCCAACCUACCCCAUCCUGUGACUCCGUGAUUCCAUGACUCUCUCUGAGGACACGCUGCUGUUUCCCACAUGGCCGUGCACAGAUGUUGCCAGGUGUCCCCUGCCAGCCGGGCCCUGGCAGAGCCUCAGCUCACCAGGAAUGAGAGAAGGUGACAGAAUAAAAGUAGGGGGAAACCAGUUGGUCGGUGCUUUCUGUUUCCCUCCUCUUGGCCAACUGCUAGACACAGUAAAUAGGGAAUUAGGGGCUUCUCAAUAUGUGUAUUUUUUUAUGUAAGUGCUUGGGGAUUUCUGGUCCUGGGCUUGUCUGGGAACACAGUUUUUCUGGGCUGACUGAUGCAGUCAUAGCAAUAACCUAAAUUGCAGUUUUUACUUGAAGUUUUUACAAUGUCACCUUCUCCUGGAGGGAGUUUAGAAGGGAAGGGAGCUGUGACGUGUGGUUACACUGUGGUGUUCAUGUGUGUCCACACAGGGAAUUGGAACAGUACCUGUAGUGCCAGAUUCCUGUUGGCAGAAGUAGAAAACACCUGCUUCCUCCUUUUCCAGAGGUGGUUGGUGGUCGAUGUUCCUCCUACCUGGGCUGUGUCCUCAAGCACAUCUGUUCUUUUUGUACGUAAAUCUUAACGUUCCCUUGACGUGAAACACUCAAACACUCGGUGCUGCCAUUCCUUGAACACUCCCCCUGACUUAUUCAAGGAAUAACAUUUGUUUAUCCCUGAGAAGAUACAAACAGAAUGCUUAGGG
This is a long non-coding RNA of Corapipo altera (White-ruffed manakin), 1621 nucleotides long. RefSeq lists it as uncharacterized. The record is from RefSeq and is a predicted model, not a curated record. The transcript has 2 exons. NCBI's taxonomy places the organism in Eukaryota, Metazoa, Chordata, Aves, Passeriformes, Pipridae.